GGCAUACAGAUUUUAAAAAAUGUGGUGAACCAUGAGUUUUGCAUUUGUUCCCAUGCAGACAUGCACCCAAACAUCCUUCCCCUCACCCUCCCCCUUCCAGAAAGGGGAAAAGAACAAACGGAUAGAAAAGGAAACAGAAUGGUUGGUAAUUCACCAAUGUCAAGAAGGGCACUAGAAAUAAUGGCACUAGAAAUAAUGGCCUUGCAAUGGGAAAAGCAUUGCCAAUGAGCCCAUAAGCAACGCCGACAGCCUAUAAUUUACAGCUUUUCAUUGGCCAUAUGAAAACACUGCCAGAAUGGAUGACCAACUGAAUAAAAUCAAAUUAGGCCACUCUUGUUUAGUUAGCAGAACAUCACAAUAAGGCAAGAGCAGUUGAGUUAGAUUUCCAUAGAAAUGAUUCCCG
Molecule: unclassified non-coding RNA, 403 nt
Filed under: Hevea brasiliensis (rubber tree)
Lineage: Eukaryota; Viridiplantae; Streptophyta; Magnoliopsida; Malpighiales; Euphorbiaceae
Source: RNAcentral